This 775-nucleotide ribosomal RNA is filed under the name uncultured Neocallimastigales. RNAcentral describes it as "partial large subunit ribosomal RNA". It matches the Rfam family "Eukaryotic large subunit ribosomal RNA", at positions 23 to 637 of the family's 3401-position model. The record is from RNAcentral. Lineage: Eukaryota; Fungi; Neocallimastigomycota; Neocallimastigomycetes; Neocallimastigales.
ACACGCAUGACACACUGCAUAUCAAUAAGCGGAGGAAAAGAAACUAACUAGGAUUCCCUUAGUAACGGACGAGUGAAGCGGGAAGAGCUCAAAUCUGAAAUCUUCAAGGUUCUACCUUGACGAAUUGUAGUUUAAAGAAGUGUUUUCUGUUAGUGGAGUGGCAAAAGUUCUCUGGAAUAGGACAUCAUAGAGGGUGAGAAUCCCGUAUUUGGUCAUUCCUUCUAGCUUUGUGAUACACUUUCAAAGAGUCGGAUUGUUUGGGAAUGCAGUCCAAAAUGGGUGGUAAAUUUCAUCUAAAGCUAAAUAUUGGCGAGAGACCGAUAGCGAACAAGUACCGUGAGGGAAAGGUGAAAAGAACUUUGAAAAGAGAGUUAAACAGUACGUGAAAUUGUCAAAAGGGAAGCGUUUGACACCAGUGUUGUUUUUCCGAAAAUCAAUUACGAAUGUUUUGUUUUUAAGAAGUUAUGACUUCAUCGGCUUGCUUCUUUCUUUACGAAACUUUCUUAAUGCACUUUUCGGUUAACAAGUCAACAUCAAUUUCUUUUGUUGUAAAAGGGUAUGAGGAAGGUGGCUUUCUUUUCGGAGAAAGUGUUUAUAGCCUUGUACCUCUGCAAUCGGAGAGAUUGAGGUCUGCAGCGUAGAUCCUUCGGGGUUAGAUACAUUUGUGCUAAGUUAUAGCUUUUCAUAGACAACUUGUUGACUAUGUUUAGUCUUGUAGCUUACUCGCUUAUGCUAUUUUACCUACGCUUAGGAUGUUGAGCGCAUGUCUCUCUCU